Molecule: transfer RNA, 73 nt
Filed under: bacterium
Lineage: Bacteria
Also listed under: 4 other names
Description: tRNA-Ala
Rfam family: tRNA
About the family: Transfer RNA (tRNA) molecules are approximately 80 nucleotides in length. Their secondary structure includes four short double-helical elements and three loops (D, anti-codon, and T loops). Further hydrogen bonds mediate the characteristic L-shaped molecular structure. tRNAs have two regions of fundamental functional importance: the anti-codon, which is responsible for specific mRNA codon recognition, and the 3' end, to which the tRNAs corresponding amino acid is attached (by aminoacyl-tRNA synthetases). tRNAs cope with the degeneracy of the genetic code in two manners: having more than one tRNA (with a specific anti-codon) for a particular amino acid; and 'wobble' base-pairing, i.e. permitting non-standard base-pairing at the 3rd anti-codon position.
Source: RNAcentral
GGGGAUGUAGCUCAGUUGGGAGAGCGAAGCGUUCGCAACGCUUAGGUCGGGGGUUCGAAUCCCCUCAUCUCCA